UUGGCGGCCUUCCUUCUCGUCAGAGGAACUCGUAUUUUCAUCCGAUAAUCCGCGCUAAAUCUCACUUAGACCCCAAAGUCUUUAUAUCGCCGUCUAAAGAUUCAAAUUCAACAUUUAAUCCCAAAGGAUUAUCCUCACCCACGUCAGGUCGAGAUAAAGCCUAUAUCUAAGCAAUCCGAGUUACACAUAUCCAUCAUAUAAAAACUUUCUGGCCAAAACCAAAAACAUUCAGGAUUUGAAAGUAAUUUUCUGAUAUUACCUCAAAAUGAACUUGCCUACAAGGCGUACAUAUCGCCCGUCACCCUCGUCCAAAGAUGAGGUAAGUCGUAACAAAGUUAAUGUACUGGAAAGUGCAUUAAGGG
This 362-nucleotide ribosomal RNA is filed under the name Selenocosmia javanensis. Its description in RNAcentral is "partial 12S ribosomal RNA". Lineage: Eukaryota; Metazoa; Arthropoda; Arachnida; Araneae; Theraphosidae. The record is from RNAcentral.